AGCAGCCGCGGUAAUUCCAGCUCCAAUAGCGUAUAUUAAAGUUGUUGCAGUUAAAAAGCUCGUAGUUGAAUUUCGGGGUUAGUAGUUUGGUCGUGCCAAUGGUAUGUACUGGGCUCACUGAUUCCUCCUUCCUGAUGAACUGUAAUGCCAUUAAUUUGGUGUUGCAGGGAAACAGGACUGUUACUUUGAAAAAUUAGAGUGUUUAAAGCAAGCUAACGCUUGAAUACAUUAGCAUGGAAUAAUGAAAUAGGACGUUCGAACCUAUUUUGUUGGUUUCUAGGAUUGACGUAAUGAUUAAUAGGGAUAGUUGGGGGCAUUAGUAUUCAAUUGUCAGAGGUGAAAUUCUUGGAUUUAUUGAAGACUAACUACUGCGAAAGCAUUUGCCAAGGAUGUUUUCAUUAAUCAAGAACGAAAGUUAGGGGAUCGAAGACGAUCAGAUACCGUCGUAGUCUUAACCCAUAAACUAUGCCGACUAGGGAUCGGAUGGUGUUAAUUUUUAAUGACUCAUUCGGCGCCUUAC
RNAcentral lists this unclassified non-coding RNA (520 nucleotides) under uncultured Glomus. Its description in RNAcentral is "SSU rRNA". It matches the Rfam family "Eukaryotic small subunit ribosomal RNA", at positions 569 to 1091 of the family's 1831-position model. Lineage: Eukaryota; Fungi; Glomeromycota; Glomeromycetes; Glomerales; Glomeraceae. The record is from RNAcentral.